RNAcentral lists this ribosomal RNA (443 nucleotides) under uncultured Porphyromonadaceae bacterium. RNAcentral describes it as "bacterial SSU rRNA". It matches the Rfam family "Bacterial small subunit ribosomal RNA", at positions 354 to 794 of the family's 1533-position model. The record is from RNAcentral. Lineage: Bacteria; Pseudomonadati; Bacteroidota; Bacteroidia; Bacteroidales; Porphyromonadaceae.
UGAGGGAAUAUUGGGUCAAUGGGCGGAAGCCUGAACCAGCCAUGCCGCGUGACGGAAGACGGCCCUAUGGGUCUUAAACGUCUUUGGUCCCGGAGCAAUAAGAGCCACGCGUGGCUCGAUGAGAGUACGGGAAGAACAAGCAUCGGCUAACUCCGUGCCAGCAGCCGCGGUAAUACGGGGGAUGCGAGCGUUAUCCGGAUUUAUUGGGUUUAAAGGGUGCGCAGGCGGCGCGCCAAGUCAGCGGUCAAAGUUCCGGGCUCAACCCGGUGUCGCCGUUGAAACUGGCGUGCUCGAGUGCGUGCGAGGAAGGCGGAAUGCGCUGUGUAGCGGUGAAAUGCAUAGAUAUGACGCAGAACUCCGAUUGCGAAGGCAGCUUUCCAGCGCGCUACUGACGCUGAGGCACGAAAGCGUGGGGAUCGAACAGGAUUAGAUACCCUGGUAGU